Leopardus geoffroyi (Geoffroy's cat) is the source of this 4164-nucleotide long non-coding RNA. RefSeq lists it as uncharacterized. The transcript is spliced from 2 exons. The record is from RefSeq and is a predicted model, not a curated record. NCBI's taxonomy places the organism in Eukaryota, Metazoa, Chordata, Mammalia, Carnivora, Felidae.
CUCUCUCUCUCUCUCUCUCUCUCUCUGCCCCUCCCCCACUUACUUGCAAGAGCUGUCUCUCAAAAAAACUUUAAAAAAAUAGCUCAACUUUUUAGGUCUUAUGGCUAAUCCUUAUCGAAUGGCAUCCAGAACGCUGUCAGACCCUUUGAAUGGGCAUAGGAAAUUUCAGGGGAAGACUUCUAGGAUAAAGUUGUUGGCAUACCCAGGCAACCCUCACUUUAAGGCUAUUUUAAAUGGGCUUGUCGGCUUAUAUAAUUGAGGCUUGUUGGGAGCUGGAAGAGGGGUGGUGGGAAAACCAUGAUUCCAUCUCCGUUAUAAACACAGGAAAUAAGUGUGCCACGAAAGGACUUCAUAGGUUGUGUUUUACAAGCAGCGGGAGAUGCCAUGGGAGAACCUAAGCCUACCUUAUGGUGAGAUGAAGUCCAGCCAGGAGCAAAAUUCCUGAGUCUCAGUUAAGAUAUUGAUACCUAAAAUGUGAAGAGUAGAAAGGGAAGCCUGGGGAAGCCUGGCUGGCUCAGUGGGUAGAGCCUGUGAUUCUUGAUCUUGGGGCUGUGAGUUCAAGCCCCAUGUUGGAUAUCGGAAAAAACAAAAAAAGGGGGGUCCAGAUGCCCCCUGUCUACAUGUUUGAAAGUAAUAAAUCAAGUGAACAAACUGGUCAAUUAAAUAGGUCUUACCCUCCUACUUGACAAAUAUCCCUUCAUAACGGCCCGAUUAGAUUUCUCAAGCUGCUUGGCGUUCUGUGCAGGAGAUAGCAGCCAACGAUCUACCUGCGGUGUGCCCCCAUCCACAUUACACUCUGCCCCUGGCUUCUUUGGGUACCAAGAGGGGCCCCCACAUGCAUGUGGAGUAUGUCAAAGCUCUGUACCUCCAUGAAUAGCUGCACCUUGGUCAUCCUCAGGGUUAGAAGUAUCUGUCCUCAGGAGGCCAGACAUGAGGAAGAAACCCAAGAAACGGGUUCUCAGUCAUUUGGGUCUCCAGUAUCCCAUAUGUAGCAUUUUUGUCGGGAGCGGGGAGAGGAUACCUGGGAGGACACGGGCUCCAGGCAAGCAAAUCUCCAUGAACCUAAGGAGUCUUCAUCUAUACUAAAGGGCAUGGCCAUAGGAAGCCCAGAAUGGAGACUUCGGGUCAAGAGCAGGUCCAGGUACAAAAGCUUCAUGAACGAGUCACGUGAGAAGGAACAAAGGGAAAUGAACUAGGAAGAGUGACAUCCCUACACUGUACAGGCUGUGCGUGACUGCAGAUCCUUCCGUAGAACUAUCGGCGGGCAGAGGUAGCGACAGGGUCACGGUUGGGGGUGUGGGGGAGAGGAAAGGGCCAGAUACGGACCGAGGGGUGAGUAAGGAAUCAGAUAUAUGUAUCGCAACGCGCUGAAGAGAUAAGUUCUGUGGCACAGCGUUGGUAAUGCAUUUCGUGACGGCUGAGCGAGAGAAUCUGCCUCAGGAUGGGCCUCUCUGGGGGAGUCUGAGGGGCCAGCCUGCGGCAGAAAUGGAACCAGAGAUGGCACUUGUGUCCACCUGGCAGCCGCUUCCAGAGACAGGGGUGAGCUGGGCAUCGGUGACAUCACAAAGACAGAUGUGCUCAAGGGGAAGCGUUCCAGUCCUUCUGGGUAUCCUCUGAGAUAAGUAACUAGGAACUCAGGCCAAUUACUCUGGGGCCUCCGUACCCUCGUCCUGAUCCGGUCAGCCACGCAGUGCCAGCCUCCGUUCUGUCAGGAAGGGGUUUCGCUAUUUCUGGAUCCUUCUCAAACCUACUGAGUUACAUUCUCCAGAGGAAGCGUCCAGGAAUCUGUAUUUUCAAAGACACCCCCCCCCCCCCCGGCCCCGGAUGCUUCUGAAGCACAACCACAAUUAUACAGCACCGUACAAAGGUUGGUGUUGCUGCGAUUCUGUGGAGAGAUAGCAGCUCUGAGUACUAUGCUAAGAGGGAACCCUCUAGAGCUGCCUGACUUCCAAGUGGAGGAUUUCCAAGGGGUGUCACUUCACGACGGAGGUCCGGGGAAGAAGCCCAAUGAAUUUAGGGAAUCCAUGAACUUGGGGAGUGCAGCUCUCCAUGGACGUAUAGAUGGUUCCUUCUGCCUUCAAACGUUCUCCUGGCAAGAGAACAGCCCCCUAAAUACACAGAGACACGCAGACAGUGCCCCUCUGUCUCAGAACCUGCAGAAGCUGUAAGUUGCAGAGGGAUACCCACAGUAGAAGCCAACCAUCAAGUGUUUGAGGCUAUCCAGGAGUACAAGGGAGAACCAGGCGGGCACCUGUCCCUGCUGAGGGGAGCACCCGAAGCGAAAGUCCUGCAUAGCCAGGAAGCGAGAACAGAAGCCCUGGGACCUGGAGCCCGCCGGGCCCCCCACCAGGACCAGCGAUGAGCAAACCACUACCCUCUCUUGUGCCUCUGGCUUUCAUCUGUGAAACGUGGACACAACUUGUCCGCUACAGGAAGCUUCCGUGAGCAUCAAACGAAAUAACGGAUGUGAAGGGUCGCGGAGCGUUACGAAAAGCCGUGCAAAUGCAACGCAACGUUUCUGUUCUUCCAAAGGAGCAGGACUACCACACCCUCCCACAAACACGAAACUUUCUCCAAAGAACCAGAAGUCUGUGCAACCGAUUCGUUCGAUACCAAGUAGCCUCCGUGAAUCUCAUGCUUUGCCUCCCCGAGGAAAAGAAGCCUCACUCCCCUAAGAGACCGCCCCAAAGAAGCGCGUGGCUUGCUUCUGGAUCUCCCCCACCGCGGGACCCAGUGCAGGUGGAGUGCGCUAACCGACGUGGGAGGGGAGGGGUGCUGCAACCUCGAAGAGGUUAUGUUAGGUGACUUCGAAAAGAAGGGUUAAAAGUGAAAAAGAUCCUGGAAGGCUUUUCAAAACCACUAAGUAACAAAUGUAGCUCCCACCUCCCACCCACGCACCACUGGAAAUAACUUUAAAUAAUGCAUCUGAGAAUGUCUGCAGAACAGGCAGUCUGGAUUAAGGCCUUUUGAAGGGAUGGCGUUCCAACAAGGAUCCUUUCAGGCGCAUCAUCUUGAGAACCACUGAAUUCUCAGGCAAGUUCACCCUGACAAGUAUCUUUAGCCAAGCCUGGCGACAGAGCUGAGAUCUUGGCAUGCUGACUCCCCCCACGUGGAAAAAGACUUUAUGGCCAAAAAGGCCCGGGAGCCCUCCCGGCCACCGCGUUACCCCAACUCCUACCCCAACAGUGUUGUGUGGAAGGCUCGCCUACUCUGUGUGACCAGAAUUCCAUAAAGAGCCUGGCUGGUCGCUGGGAUGUUGUAGAAACGCAGCCAUCGCCAUUUACUCUCUUUAACAAGCAUCGACCGAACCCCUACCUUGCGCCGGGCGCUGUUCUGGCCCUUGCGGAUGCAGCGGGGAACAAAACAUACACAAAUCUUCGCCCUCGCGCAGCCUGUGUUGUUGGACAGAGGGCGGACAAGAAAUACGUAGAUAUAGGCCCGUGCCUUCCAGCAAGUAUUUUGGACAGGAGUAAGGAGGGAACGGUGGGAGGGAAUCCCUGUUCUACGCAGGGUGGUCAAAGAUCACGGGUGAAUCCGGGAGGGAGCGAAGCAUGCGGUCAUCUGCGGGAAGAGCCUUCCUGGCGGAGAUCAGCGGGCGCAAAAUGCUCCUGCCAGUGGCACACUGAAUGCACUCCGGCCACAAGCAGCAGGGCCUGAGGCUUCCGUUGAAUGAGCAAGGAAGGUGAUGGGAGAGAAGAUUCACAGGUAGCAAGGGAACAGCCCUGGUAAGGACUUGCAGCCUUCAGAUUUUUACCUUGACCGUGAUGGAGAAAACAUGGGGGGCAUUUGGGGCGGUGGAGUAGUACAAUCUCUCCUAUGCUUUAGAAGUACCUCCAUGACCGAGGUGCCUAUUUGCACCCUAAGGAGAUGCUGACCAUGGAGGCUGGAAAACACGAGAGGGGCCUGGGCUGGGGACAGAAUGGAGGGGCUGACAGCCCAUGGCUGGUAUUCGAAGCCAGGAGUCUGGAUGAGACAGAAGAGAAGAGGUGCGUGUCUCGGCCGGGGGGCCCUCCAACUCUCACAGAGAGUGGACAGGAACCUGCACAGGUGUCAGGGCAGAAGCAGCCAAUGGGGUAGGGACACUCAGAACUGACUCCCGGCCGCCCCGGGUCUGCCACAAGCGUCUCUCUCUCAAAAUAAACAAAGAUUAAAAAAAAAAAAAAA